UCYGGUUGAUCCUGCCRGACCCGACUGCUAUCAGAGUGAGACUAAGCCAUGCGAGUUAACGUAUGAAUAAUACGUGGCACACGGCUCAGUAACACGUAGUCAACAUGCCCAGAGGACGUGGAUAACCUCGGGAAACUGAGGAUAAACCGCGAUAGGCCAUAAUUACUGGAAUGGGUUAUGGCUUAAACCUAUAUGGCCUCUGGAUUGGACUGCGGCCGAUCAGGCUGUUGGUGAGGUAAUGGCCCACCAAACCUGUUACCGGUACGGGCUCUGAGAGGAGGAGCCCGGAGAUGGGCACUGAGACAAGGGCCCAGGCCCUAUGGGGCGCAGCAGGCGCGAAACCUCUGCAAUAGGCGAAAGCCUGACAGGGUUACUCUGAGUGAUUCCCGCUAAGGGGAUCUUUUGGCACCUCUAAAAAUGGUGCAGAAUAAGGGGUGGGCAAGUCUGGUGUCAGCCGCCGCGGUAAUACCAGCACCCCGAGUGGUCGGGACGAUUAUUGGGCCUAAAGCAUCCGUAGCCGGUCAUGCAAGUCCUCCGUUAAAUCCACCUGCUCAACAGAUGGGUUGCGGAGGAUACUACAAGGCUAGGAGGCGGAAGAGGCAAGCGGUACUCAGUGGGUAGGGGUAAAAUCCUCUGAUCCAUUGAAGACCACCAGUGGCGAAGGCGGCUUGCCAAUACGCGCUCGACGGUGAGGGGUGAAAGCUGGGGGAGCAAACCGGAUUAGAUACCCGGGUAGUCCCAGCUGUAAACGAUGCAGACUCGGUGAUGGGCCGGCUUUAUGCCGGCUCAGUGCCGCAGGGAAGCCGUUAAGUCUGCCGCCUGGGGAGUACGGUCGCAAGACUGAAACUUAAAGGAAUUGGCGGGGGAGCACCACAAGGGGUGAAGCCUGCGGUUCAAUUGGABUCAACGCCGGR
RNAcentral lists this ribosomal RNA (914 nucleotides) under uncultured archaeon. Its description in RNAcentral is "bacterial SSU rRNA". It matches the Rfam family "Archaeal small subunit ribosomal RNA", at positions 1 to 922 of the family's 1478-position model. The record is from RNAcentral.